Molecule: ribosomal RNA, 834 nt
Filed under: Paralagenidium sp. MTLA-26
Lineage: Eukaryota; Oomycota; Peronosporomycetes
Description: eukaryotic LSU rRNA
Rfam family: 5.8S ribosomal RNA (bases 215-369)
Source: RNAcentral
CAUUACCACACCAAAAAAACUUUCCACGUGAACCGUUGUCUGUAUGGUUUUGUACUGCUGCUCGCUCUCGGGCUUGAGUGGCGGUUAAACAAUGCUUACGUUGAUUGAUUCGCUUCGGCUGAGUCUCCGUGAGUGCCCUUUUUAAACCCCUUUCCAUACCUCAUUUUCUGAUGUAUACUCCGAGAACGAAAGUUCUUGGUUUGAACUAGAUAACAACUUUCAGCAGUGGAUGUCUAGGCUCGCACAACGAUGAAGAACGCUGCGAACUGCGAUACGUAAUGCGAAUUGCAGGAUUCAGUGAGUCAUCGAGAUUUUGAACGCACAUGGCACUUUCGGGUUAUACCUGGAAGUAUGUCUGUAUCAGUGUCUGUUGUAAAAACUUGCCUUUUUUGUGUGUGUUUUCCUUUUGGAGAGCGCGUGCGAAAGAUGUGCAGAAUGUGAAGUGUCUUGCUUUGCGGCGAGUCCUUUUAAAUGCAGUUUGCUUCUGUGCGGUUGGAAGCGCAUGUUUGCCUCGAAGGAGGUGAUCGUGUUUGACUUGCACGUAAGGUUGACUUCAGCUAGAACGCUGUAGGCAAUGCCCAAUGAGUGGUAUGUUGUGCACUUGUGCUCGACUUGUUACUGGUUGGUGCGCGGUCUGUUUUAGUGGGGGUCCUUUGUGUGUAUGUUGGGUGCGGUUGCUGCUAUUACUUCUGGGCGUGGCGUGUGUUUUGGACUGCGCGUUUUACAACGGAGGCCUAUUUGGGAAACGAGUACCUACCCGGUGCUUUACUUCAAAUUGGACCUGAUAUCAGACAAGAUUACCCGCUGAAUUUAAGCAUAUCAAUAAGCGGAGGA